Molecule: ribosomal RNA, 292 nt
Filed under: uncultured bacterium
Lineage: Bacteria
Description: partial 16S ribosomal RNA
Source: RNAcentral
GGACUACUGGGGUAUCUAAUCCUGUUUGCUCCCCUAGCUUUCGCGCCUCAGCGUCAGCCAUAGCCCAGAAAACCGUCUUCACCACCGGUGUUCUUCCACAUAUCUACGCAUUUCACCGCUACACGUGGAAUUCCGUUUUCCCUAACUACGCUCGAGACAGGAAGUUUCAAAUGCAGUUCCGCAGUUGAGCCACGGAAUUUCACAUUUGACUUUCCUAUCCGCCUACGCGCCCUUUACGCCCAGUAAUUCCGAUCAAUGCUUGCACCCUCCGUAUUACCGCGGCUGCUGGCAC